Molecule: ribosomal RNA, 441 nt
Filed under: uncultured bacterium
Lineage: Bacteria
Description: partial 16S ribosomal RNA
Rfam family: Bacterial small subunit ribosomal RNA
Source: RNAcentral
CCUACGGUGUGCAGCAGUGGGGGAUAUUGCACAAUGGGGGGAACCCUGAUGCAGCGACGCCGCGUGGGUGAAGGAGUGCUUCGGCAUGUAAAGCCCUAUCGGCAGGGAAGAAGCAAGACGGUACCUGACGAAGAAGCCCCGGCGAAUUACGUGCCAGCAGCCGCGGUACUACGGAGGGGGCGAGCGUUAUCCGGAUUAACUGGGGGUAAAGGGAGCGUAGACGGCCAUGCAAGCCAGGGGUGAAAGCCCGGGGCCCAACCCCGGGACGGCCUUUGGAACUGCAUGGCUGGAGUGCGGGAGGGGCAGGCGGAAUUCCUGGUGUGGCGGUGAAAUGCGUAGAUAUCAGGAGGAACACCGGGGGCGAAGGCGGCCUGCUGGACCGCGACUGACGUUGAGGCUCGAAAGCGUGGGGAGCGAACAGGAUUAGAUACCCCUGUAGUC